Molecule: ribosomal RNA, 465 nt
Filed under: uncultured bacterium
Lineage: Bacteria
Description: partial 16S ribosomal RNA
Rfam family: Bacterial small subunit ribosomal RNA
Source: RNAcentral
CCUACGGGGGGCAGCAGUGGGGAAUAUUGCGCAAUGGGCGAAAGCCUGACGCAGCGACGCCGCGUGAGGGAUGAAGGUCUUCGGAUCGUAAACCUCUGUCAGCAGGGAAGAACGGUCACUGUGCUAAUCAGCAGUGAAUUGACGGUACCUGCAAAGGAAGCACCGGCUAACUCCGUGCCAGCAGCUGCGGUAAUACGGAGGGUGCGAGAGUUAAUCGGAAUUACUGGGCGUAAAGCGCUCGUAGGCGGUAUGGCAAGUCAAGGGUGAAAUCCCCGCGCUCAACGUGGGAACUGCCUUGGAAACUGGCAAACUGGAGUGUGUGAGAGGAUAGUGGAAUUCCAGGUGUAGGGGUGAAAUGCGUAGAUAUCUGGAGGAACAUCAGUGGCGAAGGCGGCUAUCUGGCACAAAACUGACGCUGAGGAGCGAAAGCGUGGGUAGCAAACAGGAUUAGAUACCCUAGUAGUC